GACGCCCCUAAUCCAGCCCACAUCCCCUGUCUCAAAUUUAUUUCCCCCCCAAAAAAAAUAAAUCAUUCUUGAUCUAAAGUAAAUGCGAUUGAAAAAGAAAAACUUGGAGCCUUAUUAAUAGUACCGUAAGGGAAAGAUGAAAUAGAAAUUAAACAAAUAUUUAAGCAACAAACAGUAGAGACUUCAACUCGUACCUUUUGCAUUAUGGUUUAACUAGUCCAACCAGGCAAAAAGAUCUUUAGUCUGACUUCCCGAAACUAAGUGAGCUACUCCAAGGUAACCCUAGAGUUAACCCGUCUCUGUGGCAAAAGAGUGGGAUAACCUUCGAGUAGAGGUGACAUACCUAUCGAACUUAGUAAUAGCUGGUUACUCAAGAAACGAAUUUAAGUUCCUUCUCAAGAGUAUUUAGCAUGCUUACAUUAAGCAAAUUUAACCUCUUAAGACCUAUUCAAUUAGGGUACAGCCUCAUUGAAAAAGGAUACAACCUAUUACUCAGGUUAAUGUUUUUAUAGACCUAGCAUAAGUUGGCCUAAGAGCAGCCACCUUUAAAAUAGCGUCAAAGCUUUCUCUACCGUCUUCUCAAAUCCCGUAAUCCCUACAGAACCCGAUACUAUUAUUGAGUCCUUCUAUACUUCUAUAGAAGUGUCUAUGUUAAAACUAGUAACACAGAACUUAUUCUCCCUAUGUAAGUGUAAAUCAGACAGAAUAAAUCACUGAUAAUUAUUCAGUAAUGAAUUUACUGUAAUAACCCCACUAGAAAACCCUACAGCCCUUUACUGUUAACCUAACACAAGAACAUAAGAGAAAGAUUAAAAGAUAAGGAAGGAACUCGGCAAAUCUAAAUCCCGCCUGUUUACCAAAAACAUCGCCUUUUGCACACUAUAUAAGGUAAUGC
Molecule: ribosomal RNA, 895 nt
Filed under: Xenophrys serchhipii
Lineage: Eukaryota; Metazoa; Chordata; Amphibia; Anura; Megophryidae
Description: partial 16S ribosomal RNA
Rfam family: Bacterial large subunit ribosomal RNA (bases 178-656)
Source: RNAcentral